AGUGAACGCUGGCGGUAGGCCUAACACAUGCAAGUCGAACGGCAGCACAGUAAGAGCUUGCUCUUACGGGUGGCGAGUGGCGGACGGGGGAGGAAUACAUCCGAAUCUACUUUUUCGUGGGGGAUAACGUAGGGAAACUUACGCUAAUACCGCAUACGACCUACGUGUGAAAGCUGCGGACCUUCGGCCCUUGCGCGAUUGAAGGAGCCGAUGUCGGAUUAGCUAGUUGGCGGGGUAAAGGCCCACCAAGGCGACGAUCCGUAGCUGGUCUGAGAGGAUGAUCAGCCACACUGGAACUGAGACACGGUCCAGACUCCUACGGGAGGCAGCAGUGGGGAAUAUUGGACAAUGGGCGCAAGCCUGAUCCAGCCAUGCCGCGUGGGUGAAGAAGGCCUUCGGGUUGUAAAGCACUUUUGGUGGGAAAGAAAAGCAGUAGGUUAAUACCUCGCUGUUCUGACGGUACCCAAAGAAUAAGCACCGGCUAACUUCGUG
RNAcentral lists this ribosomal RNA (492 nucleotides) under uncultured bacterium. Its description in RNAcentral is "partial 16S ribosomal RNA". It matches the Rfam family "Bacterial small subunit ribosomal RNA", at positions 29 to 507 of the family's 1533-position model. The record is from RNAcentral.